UUCGUGGCAUGGGAUGGGGUCGCGUCCUAUCAGCUUGUUGGCGGGGUGAGGGCCCACCAAGGCGUUGACGGGUAGCCGGCCUGAGAGGGCGACCGGCCACAUUGGGACUGAGAUACGGCCCAGACUCCUACGGGAGGCAGCAGUGGGGAAUAUUGCACAAUGGGCGCAAGCCUGAUGCAGCGACGCCGCGUGCGGGAUGGAGGCCUUCGGGUUGUAAACCGCUUUUGUUUGGGAGCAAGCCCUUCGGGGUGAGUGUACCUUUCGAAUAAGCACCGGCUAACUACGUGCCAGCAGCCGCGGUAAUACGUAGGGUGCGAGCGUUAUCCGGAAUUAUUGGGCGUAAAGGGCUCGUAGGCGGUUCGUCGCGUCCGGUGUGAAAGUCCAUCGCUUAACGGUGGAUCCGCGUCGGGUACGGGCGGGCUGGAGUGCGGUAGGGGAGACUGGAAUUCCCGGGUUUAACGGUG
RNAcentral lists this ribosomal RNA (464 nucleotides) under Bifidobacterium boum. RNAcentral's name for it is "bacterial SSU rRNA". It matches the Rfam family "Bacterial small subunit ribosomal RNA", at positions 212 to 683 of the family's 1533-position model. Lineage: Bacteria; Bacillati; Actinomycetota; Actinomycetes; Bifidobacteriales; Bifidobacteriaceae. The record is from RNAcentral.